UCAGAAACACCACUUGGGAACAAGAAAGUGUAAGUUCAGCAGCAGAGGAGGAAGAAUGAACCUGUUUAAGUAAAUUCUGAGUGCCUCCAUGGAAAGCCUGCUCUCAUAAACUCCCACAACCAUCUAUGAGCAUGAGAAUGAUGAGAAACAAUCUUCUGAGAAACCAGCUCUGUGUUUACCAGGAGCAAAACCAGGAAAUCUUCUAAGACGGUUCCUCUCCUUGUAGUGUUGACAAGGACACAGGAAGGAUGUGGCCUGAAGAAAUCAAAUGAACAGCAUAAAAUCCUAGCUGCAAUC
This 297-nucleotide long non-coding RNA is filed under the name Cyanistes caeruleus (blue tit). Its description in RNAcentral is "lncRNA (ENSCCEG00000019053.1)". Lineage: Eukaryota; Metazoa; Chordata; Aves; Passeriformes; Paridae. The record is from RNAcentral.